Molecule: long non-coding RNA, 375 nt
Filed under: Gallus gallus (chicken)
Lineage: Eukaryota; Metazoa; Chordata; Aves; Galliformes; Phasianidae
Source: RNAcentral
UCUGAAAGACAGAGCUGCCUCAGCUUCACCCAUCUCCUUCUCUCGUGGAAAAUAAAGUGGCUGCAGAGGGCAUUUUCUUGGGACUUUUUCUCAUAACAAAACCACGGCAUUUCCUGCUGCAUUCCCUGAGAUAAGAGCAUAUGGAUCUGAGAGAAAUGAAGGGGAAGUAAAAGAACUGCAGCUGAUGUAUUUGUCCUCUACUGAUGGAAGUCAAGAAAGUUUAUCCAGUAACACUUCAAGCAUUUGGGAGUGCAAACAAAAAAGUGAACUGCUGUCUUCAAAUACCACUACUUUUUUCUUUUGGCAGUUAGCAGGUUUAGAAAAGCCUCUGUGAUUCUCAGCUAGAAGUAAAGUUUCAUGUGCGUUAUAUUAAGU